AGAAUCAACGCUGGCGGCGUGCCUAACACAUGCAAGUCGAACGAGAAAGUGGAGCAAUCCACGAGUAAAGUGGCGCACGGGUGAGUAACACGUGACUAACCUACCCUUGAGUGGGGGAUAACCUAGGGAAACCUGGGCUAAUACCGCAUAAUACCUUCGGGUCAAAGGAGCAAUUCGCUUAAGCGAGGGGGUCGCGGCCGAUUAGUUAGUUGGCGGGGUAAUGGCCCACCAAGACGAUGAUCGGUAUCCGGCCUGAGAGGGCGCACGGACACACUGGAACUGAAACACGGUCCAGACUCCUACGGGAGGCAGCAGUGGGGAAUUUUGCGCAAUGGGGGAAACCCUGACGCAGCAACGCCGCGUGGAGGAUGAAGUCCCUUGGGAUGUAAACUCCUUUCGAUCGGGACGAUAAUGACGGUACCGGAAGAAGAAGCCCGGCUAACUUCGCGCCAGCAGCCGC
This 460-nucleotide ribosomal RNA is filed under the name uncultured bacterium. RNAcentral's name for it is "SSU rRNA". It matches the Rfam family "Bacterial small subunit ribosomal RNA", at positions 26 to 518 of the family's 1533-position model. The record is from RNAcentral.